Molecule: non-coding RNA, 125 nt
Organism: Dipodomys ordii (Ord's kangaroo rat)
Lineage: Eukaryota; Metazoa; Chordata; Mammalia; Rodentia; Heteromyidae
Source: Rfam
CCUUUCUUUUCUUGGUGGGGACCAGGCAGUUGGUCCUUUUCCCGAUUAGGUACAGAGGCAGAAGGAGGGACUCUAGCCCUCCAGGUAUGGCUUCCCAUCCACUGAUUCUUUCCUCAAGAAUGAGG